UGGCUCAGUUGGUAGAGCAUGGUGUUUGCAACGCCAGGGUUGUGGGUUUGAUUCCCAU
Molecule: non-coding RNA, 58 nt
Organism: Salmo salar (Atlantic salmon)
Lineage: Eukaryota; Metazoa; Chordata; Actinopteri; Salmoniformes; Salmonidae
Source: Rfam